CUCGUAGGCGGUUCAGUAAGUUGGGUGUGAAGGCUCCGGGCUCAACCCGGAGAGGCCACUCAAUACUGCUGUGACUAGAGUCCAGUAGAGGAGCGUGGAACUCCUGGUGUAGCGGUGAAAUGCGCAGAUAUCAGGAAGAACACCGGCAGCGAAGGCGGCGCUCUGGGCUGGUACUGACGCUGAGGAGCGAAAGCAUGGGUAGCAAACA
RNAcentral lists this ribosomal RNA (208 nucleotides) under uncultured bacterium. RNAcentral's name for it is "partial 16S ribosomal RNA". It matches the Rfam family "Bacterial small subunit ribosomal RNA", at positions 568 to 774 of the family's 1533-position model. The record is from RNAcentral.